UACCAGCACCCCGAGUGGUCGGGACGAUUAUUGGGCCUAAAGCAUCCGUAGCCGGUCCUGCAAGUCUUCCGUUAAAUCCAGCUGCUCAACAGAUGGGCUGCGGGGGAUACUAUAGGGCUAGGAGGCGGGAGAGGCAAGCGGUACUCAGUGGGUAGGGGUAAAAUCCUCUGAUCCAUUGAAGACCACCAGUGGCGAAGGCGGCUUGCCAGAACGCGCUCGACGGUGAGGGAUGAAAGCUGGGGGAGCAAACCGG
This 253-nucleotide ribosomal RNA is filed under the name uncultured bacterium. RNAcentral's name for it is "partial 16S ribosomal RNA". It matches the Rfam family "Archaeal small subunit ribosomal RNA", at positions 474 to 727 of the family's 1478-position model. The record is from RNAcentral.